RNAcentral lists this ribosomal RNA (253 nucleotides) under uncultured bacterium. RNAcentral describes it as "partial 16S ribosomal RNA". It matches the Rfam family "Bacterial small subunit ribosomal RNA", at positions 524 to 776 of the family's 1533-position model. The record is from RNAcentral.
UACGUAGGCAGCAAGCGUUGUUCGGAAUUACUGGGCGUAAAGAGUGUGUAGGCGGUGCUCUAAGUCUGUUGUGAAAUCUCCCGGCUUAACCGGGAGGGUGCGGCGGAAACUGGAGUGCUUGAGGGUGGGAGAGGUAAGCGGAAUUCCUGGUGUAGCGGUGAAAUGCGUAGAUAUCAGGAGGAACACCUGUGGUGUAGACAGCUUACUGGUCCACUUCUGACGCUGAGACACGAAAGCGUGGGUAGCAAACAGG